Long non-coding RNA from Salvelinus sp. IW2-2015, 1866 nucleotides. RefSeq lists it as uncharacterized. The transcript has 2 exons. Lineage: Eukaryota; Metazoa; Chordata; Actinopteri; Salmoniformes; Salmonidae. The record is from RefSeq and is a predicted model, not a curated record.
GACCUCUCUGGAGCCCUCACACACACUCAACCUGGACACUAGACCAGCCAGCUCACACUGGCACCACCAUGGGAAGGAGGACACCCCCUCUCUGAUAGGUCUGUGUGGGUCUCUGCAGUCAGUAGCCAGCAAUAAGUCACUGGCCAGCCUGAAGUCCAGUGAGUGUCUAGCCAGCCCCACCACAGAUGACCAGUCCUGACCUCACCCCGUCCUAGAACAAGAGACCCAGCACAUGGUUUGGAGAAAGAGAGCCAGAUUUGGAUCCUGGAAUUGGAACUCAGCCUUUUUAAAUAACAUUCCACCCCAUCCCGUCCUAAACCCAGAGYUCUAACUUCGUCCCCAGGCUCAAUUCAUAGAUUACCAGAGAUGCAACACAGGUCGUAGAAUCAGACAACUGUGCAUAGAGAUUUAUUUAUUGGAAUUUCUAUGACUAAAUCACAUGGAAUCUGGAUCCAGGAACUCUUGAGUUUUUWAAAAGAAAUAUUGAAGGAACUCAUAGCUCAAAACAUGGGAGCCGCAGUCAAUCAUUUGGAAUUUACAACCCGAACUGACCCUGGAACCGGCGCUUCAGUAGUCAGUCCUUCAAUGUAAGCGCAGAGCCGUUGGAAAAACCAGGACUAUAUUGACCAGGACCGACCCCAUGUUUAUUUAUUAGUUUGUUGUAUAUCUGCACUGAUGGGAAAACAACUGCAUAGUUGAAAGCCAGUUCCGGGUAGGCAUACUGUUGUCACCUAUCUUAUGUGUUCAGAUCACUGCAGACCAAGGAGAACGCCACUUGACACUAUCGACCAGACCUUUUGGUGUCACUUAAAGGACUCCUCAUGAUGUAAACAUGCUCAGCAUCCCAGAGAUUGACAAAACUUGAGGAAUGGCUUUCUUUAGGAUUUAUUUAGGGAUGGGUAAGGAGUGUUGAAGUUUAGGGUUUGUUUCUCAACAGUGUUAAAGCCUGUAGACUAGUGGUUCUGUUCAUGCCUCAUCAACUUGCAGGUGUUGUCCUGUUACCCUGGCAACUUAAGUGAGCUCUACUAUAGAUGGCCAUGGUYGGUCCGACUCAGCGGCCAAAGAAAUACAUCUCAAAGAACGGACGUAUUUAGGUAUUGUAUUCCUGCCAGAGGACUGGACUAUCCUCAUUAUUUAUAAUGUUGGAAGGGCCUUGAAAUAUCUAGAGGAGAACAGUGUUGCUUUUAUGUUUUCUGUUUCUACGGUCAAUCCUCUGUGGUACUUGACUUGCAGCCAUAAUCAUAUUAUUGAUGGCAUUGACUAUCUUAUAAACSAUCAAAAUAAAGUCYGACACUCCAUAUAUAAACUCCCAGUAAUUUAUUGGGUAUUUACCAGCGUUUCGGCAUCACUGUGCCUUCAGGCACAGACACAUUGGUAAAUACCCAAUAAAUUACUGGAAGUUUAUAUAUGGAGUGUCCGACUUUAUUUUGAUCGUUUAUUUGCCAUUAGUCAGCACCUCCACACAAACACAUUGUUCUGGGUGUGCGCCAGRGAAUGUUUUUUAAUUGAAUGCAUCUCAUUCACAAUCCGUUUUGGAUUUAACCACACAGUAUUAUGUUAUAUCUUUAUGCGUCAUAAAGGGUUUGUAUUCUCAGGAAAUGUUUCCUGUCCAACAGGGUUAGGUUGAACCGUUUGGUUAGGUUAAACAUAAUAGGCUGUAUUGGGGUUGCAUUUUCUGUCUCUGACUGCUUUGAGAUUUAUUUUGACCAGAGGCAUGUGGGGAAAGUGUUCAGGGUGUGUUCUGUCUCACACACACACACACACACACACACACUUAAUAGUAUUGUGAUAUUGCACAUUGAUUUUAUUACUUUGAUUUAUUUAUUUUCUCCUGCUAUUUUGAAUAAACUACUGUACUAAACAAUA